This 2585-nucleotide unclassified non-coding RNA is filed under the name Aphidius gifuensis. RNAcentral's name for it is "g-protein coupled receptor 161-like, transcript variant X1". Lineage: Eukaryota; Metazoa; Arthropoda; Insecta; Hymenoptera; Braconidae. The record is from RNAcentral.
GUUGUUUAAAUAAAAACUAUGAAACACUAGUCGAAUAAAAAGGGUAAAAUUCACCCCUUAACAGACGCCGGCGCAUUGUCAUUGAUCAGCACGUGGCAUCAAAAGACUUUCUGUCGAAUAGUCAGACAAACGGUGACAAACCGUGCUUCUUGUCUUUUCGUGAUUUUUACCCCUCAAUAUAAUAAAAAUAUAAAUAAACAAGCAAUUUUUAUUUAUUUUUUAAAUAAAAAAAACUAAAUGAUAAUUUUUUUUGUUUUUAUUUUUCUAUAUAAAAAUAUUUAUUGUAAAAAAUUUUUUUGUUUAAAAAAUUGUGAUAAUAAUUUAAAAUUGUGAUAAUGAUAUUUUAGUUUAAUUAGAAAAAAAAUAAUGACAAUAUAAAUGACGUGAAAAUAGUUCAUAAAUUAAUUUAAUUUAGAUGUGAAAAAAUUAUUUAUUUUUUUUCGAUAUAGAUAAUUUUUUUUUUUCAAAUUUUCAUUGUAGAAGAAGAAUUUAAUGCAAGGGGAGUUUAUUGAUGUGGUAAAAAAAAGUACGAGCUGGUUCAGUUAAAUAUGGAUUGAUGAUAAAUAAAAGAUAGCGGUAUGGGCCCUUGGGCCUUUGGUUUACCACUUUUCCUCAUAUCAGCAUUGGGCCUACUUGUCAAUUCUUAUGUACUUCUUGUUGUUCUUGGUCUGCGAAAACAGCCCCAACAACAACAAACAGCAAAUACACUCUUGCUAGUUCAUCUUAGUGCUGUUGAAUCAGCAGUUUGUAUUGUUUCAAUUGUAUUCAGUAUAAGUGGAUGGCCCAUAACUGACACAUGGUGUAUGUUUCAUGGAUUAUUAUUGACGUUAUUACAUCCGGUUGCACUGUGGACGGUGACAGGAUUAAAUUGUGAUAGGUAUUAUGCAAUUGCAUCACCACUACAUUAUACAGCAAAGGUAUCACCGAAACGUAUUACAAUUGGUCUUAUUGGUUCAUGGACAAUUGGAUUGUUGCUUUGUUUACCUCCAUUGUCGGGCUUUGCACCAUCAUAUGAAUAUAAUCCAGGUCUUGGAUGUUGUAUACCUGAUUUUGGUAACAAUAGUUGGGGUAUUAGUGGAUUAAUAUAUUCAAUUAUUUAUAUAUUCAUUGGUCUAUUGUUACCGGCAAUACUUGUUACAAUAUGUAAUUUACGUAUUUUAAGUAUUGCCAGAUAUCAUCGUCAUCGUAUUGCAAGUGCAAUUUAUGAAGUUACAUUGAGUGCACAAGUUACAAUAACACAUCAAAGAAAUCCAUUUUUUAUACCAACAAUUACAGCACCAAGUUCUGGUGGACCACCAAAAUUUCACAGUGCAGCAAGUACAGUCAUGCAGUUAGUCGGAUCAUUGUAUUUAUUGUAUUUACCAUAUUGUGUAUUAAUAUUAUGGGAAUUGGUGUGUAAUGGUAAACAUUUUCAUGUUCAUCCAAAAAUACUGUCCUUGGCCUCACUAUUAUUGGCCAGUUCACCACCCAUUAAUGGUUUAUUAUAUGGCCUCAAGUCACGAACUCUACGUCGUUCUGUUCAGAAUUAUUGGCGAAAAAAAAUAACGAAAUCCGAAUUGCAGCAGGAAAUUCAAGCAAGAACACCAAGUGUAGCUGGAUCAAGAAGACCAUCAGCAAGUGGUCCAGUAUCAUUAUUUCCAUUUCCUCCACUUCAAAGAAGAUUAAGUGAAGCAUUAUUAAAUUUAGGAACAAAAUCACAAAAUUCUGGCUUUGAUAAUAAUAACGUUAUUGGUUUCAAUAAAACAAAACUUCAAUCAGCAGCAUCAUGCAAUACAUUACGAGUACCAACAACUGAAUCAAAUGAAAGUAACACAAGAGUUGUGAGAACAAGCACAAGUGCAGCAAGUUUAAUGGGUCAUUUUAAAAAUGAUAGAGAACAAGUUGAUAUUAAUUUAUCAGUAUUUGAUACAUCAAAGAAAAGUCCAAGAAUAUUAAUAACACGUACUGAAAGUUUAGAUUGUGAUAGUCCAAUUAUAAAACGUACAAGUAUUACAAAAAAUAAAAAUUCCAUCAUAAAUGAGAAAGAACGUGGAUUGAGACAAAUGAGUGCAGGUAGUGACAGCAGUACUGGCAGUAGUGAAACAAAUGUUUGGACAACAAAAAUAUUGCCAAAAACAAGUGGUACUAAUUUAAAUAAUUCAAUGGACAAUUGGCCAACUGGUAAACGUUUUACUCGUGUUAGAACACUUGAAGAUAUGAUGCUUGCUAGUAAUCGAGCUAGUAAUAAUAGUGAAAGUAGUGAUACAACUGAUACAACAACUGCCACAACAAUAGCAUCAUCAACAUCAACAACAACAACGAUUUUACCAACAAAAUCAAUAACUAUGGGUGAAAGAAAAAAUGUCAUUACCUAAGAUAAAUAUACAACGAAAGUUAAUCUUCAAAGUUUCAUUGUCUACCAGGCGACAAUCCGUCGCCUAUCGGUCCCUUGGAAAUACAGCAGGUGAUAAAUUGAGUCUAUGCGAAAAUACGACACGCUUUUGAAAAACGGCAAACGAACAAUCAACAUGUGACGAUGAAAACUUGAAUGAUAAAUUUCAUAUAAGUAAUGAUGACGGUGAUGAUAAUGAAGAAAGUCAAACAAA